AUUGAACGCUGGCGGAAUGCUUUACACAUGCAAGUCGAACGGUAGAGGGGGCAACCCCUCGAGAGUGGCGAACGGGUGAGUAAUAUAUCGGAACGUGCCCAGUCGUGGGGGAUAACGUAGCGAAAGUUACGCUAAUACCGCAUACGAUCUCAGGAUGAAAGCGGGGGAUCGCAAGACCUCGCGCGAUUGGAGCGGCCGAUAUCAGAUUAGGUAGUUGGUGGGGUAAAGGCUCACCAAGCCAACGAUCUGUAGCUGGUCUGAGAGGACGACCAGCCACACUGGAACUGAGACACGGACCAGACUCCUACGGGAGGCAGCAGUGGGGAAUUUUGGACAAUGGACGCAAGUCUGAUCCAGCCAUUCCGCGUGCAGGAUGAAGGCCCUCGGGUUGUAAACUGCUUUUGUACGGAACGAAAAGGUCUCUCUUAAUACGGGGGACUCAUGACGGUACCGUAAGAAUAAGCACCGGCUAACUACGUGCCAGCCGCCGCGGUAA
This 496-nucleotide ribosomal RNA is filed under the name uncultured bacterium. RNAcentral describes it as "partial 16S ribosomal RNA". It matches the Rfam family "Bacterial small subunit ribosomal RNA", at positions 30 to 523 of the family's 1533-position model. The record is from RNAcentral.